RNAcentral lists this ribosomal RNA (534 nucleotides) under Brevibacteriaceae bacterium C41. RNAcentral describes it as "bacterial SSU rRNA". It matches the Rfam family "Bacterial small subunit ribosomal RNA", at positions 1 to 522 of the family's 1533-position model. Lineage: Bacteria; Bacillati; Actinomycetota; Actinomycetes; Micrococcales; Brevibacteriaceae. The record is from RNAcentral.
UGGAGAGUUUGAUCCUGGCUCAGGACGAACGCUGGCGGCGUGCCUAAUACAUGCAAGUCGAGCGAAUCGAYGGGAGCUUGCUCCCUGAGAUUAGCGGCGGACGGGUGAGUAACACGUGGGCAACCUGCCUAUAAGACUGGGAUAACUUCGGGAAACCGGAGCUAAUACCGGAUACGUUCUUUUCUCGCAUGAGAGAAGAUGGAAAGACGGUUUACGCUGUCACUUAUAGAUGGGCCCGCGGCGCAUUAGCUAGUUGGUGAGGUAAUGGCUCACCAAGGCGACGAUGCGUAGCCGACCUGAGAGGGUGAUCGGCCACACUGGGACUGAGACACGGCCCAGACUCCUACGGGAGGCAGCAGUAGGGAAUCUUCCGCAAUGGACGAAAGUCUGACGGAGCAACGCCGCGUGAACGAAGAAGGCCUUCGGGUCGUAAAGUUCUGUUGUUAGGGAAGAACAAGUACCAGAGUAACUGCUGGUACCUUGACGGUACCUAACCAGAAAGCCACGGCUAACUACGUGCCAGCAGCCGCGGUA